GCCCAGAUAGCUCAGCUGGUUAGAGCGUUACAUUGGUAAUGUAAAGGUCCUGAGUUCAAUCCUCAGUCUGGGCU
Molecule: transfer RNA, 74 nt
Filed under: archaeon
Lineage: Archaea
Description: tRNA-Thr
Rfam family: tRNA
About the family: Transfer RNA (tRNA) molecules are approximately 80 nucleotides in length. Their secondary structure includes four short double-helical elements and three loops (D, anti-codon, and T loops).
Source: RNAcentral